GAUAACGAUGGCCAGUUGGUUUAGCGUCCCCAGGGCGCCCCGUAGGGAGCCAAGCACCGCAGAGAACACAGCAAGGACCAGGGUCCCAGUCACUCGCUGCUGAGGGGGUUCCCCAUCCUGGAGAGGCAGACGCAAAGACACAGCAUGUCACAUGGAACCAUGAUUUUUUUCCUUCCACUAGGGGCCCAGGCCCAGCUGGAGCCUGAAGAUACUGGGCUCUAUCCAACAUGCUGGGUGAGGGAAACUGUGCCAUAUUAGGAAUUGCACAAAGAUCUCAAUGUAAACAGGAGCUGAACUGCAACCUGGGCAUAAAGGAGAAAUGGAUGUUUGAGUCCAUAAGGCAGAGAAGUGUUUGAGAACUUGUCUCAAAAUUCUUCUGUGACCUUGAGACAGGCUUGGCCUUAAGAGCUCAGA
This 414-nucleotide non-coding RNA is filed under the name Pongo abelii (Sumatran orangutan). Lineage: Eukaryota; Metazoa; Chordata; Mammalia; Primates; Hominidae. The record is from RNAcentral.